Sinocyclocheilus grahami is the source of this 107-nucleotide long non-coding RNA. RefSeq lists it as uncharacterized. The transcript is spliced from 3 exons. The record is from RefSeq and is a predicted model, not a curated record. NCBI's taxonomy places the organism in Eukaryota, Metazoa, Chordata, Actinopteri, Cypriniformes, Cyprinidae.
CCACAUAUGGAAUCUUGAGACUCAGACCUUUCCGACGAUAUGUAUUUUGUCAAGAUUAUAAAAGUUUUGUUUCUAAAAGACCAUAAUACAUGUUUACACCGUACGCG